RNAcentral lists this microRNA (22 nucleotides) under Pongo abelii (Sumatran orangutan). RNAcentral describes it as "Pab-Mir-506-P6c_3p* (star (passenger))". The record is from RNAcentral. RNAcentral also lists the same sequence under 1 other name. Lineage: Eukaryota; Metazoa; Chordata; Mammalia; Primates; Hominidae.
GACUGACACCUCUUUGGGUGAA